This 468-nucleotide ribosomal RNA is filed under the name uncultured bacterium. RNAcentral describes it as "partial 16S ribosomal RNA". It matches the Rfam family "Bacterial small subunit ribosomal RNA", at positions 28 to 507 of the family's 1533-position model. The record is from RNAcentral.
GACGAACGCUGGCGGCGUGCUUAACACAUGCAAGUCGAACGGAAAGGCCCUGCUUUUGUGGGGUGCUCGAGUGGCGAACGGGUGAGUAACACGUGAGUAACCUGCCCUUGACUUUGUGAUAACUUCAGGAAACUGGGGCUAAUACCGGAUAGGAGCUCCUGCUGCAUUGUGGGGGUUGGAAAGUUUCGGCGGUUGGGGAUGGACUCGCGGCUUAUCAGCUUGUUGGUGGGGUAGUGGCUUACCAAGGCUUUGACGGGUAGCCGGCCUGAGAGGGUGACCGGACACAUUGGGACUGAGAUACGGCCCAGACUCCUACGGGAGGCAGCAGUGGGGAAUAUUGCACAAUGGGCGGAAGCCUGAUGCAGCAACGCCGCGUGCGGGAUGACGGCCUUCGGGUUGUAAACCGCUUUCGCCUGUGACGAAGCGUGAGUGACGGUAAUGGGUAAAGAAGCACCGGCUAACUACGUG